This 399-nucleotide ribosomal RNA is filed under the name uncultured bacterium. Its description in RNAcentral is "bacterial SSU rRNA". It matches the Rfam family "Bacterial small subunit ribosomal RNA", at positions 29 to 455 of the family's 1533-position model. The record is from RNAcentral.
AACGAACGCUGGCGGCAGGCCUAACACAUGCAAGUCGAACGCCGUAGCAAUACGGAGUGGCAGACGGGUGAGUAACACGUGGGAACGUACCCUUCGGUUCGGAAUAACUCAGGGAAACUUGAGCUAAAACCGGAUACGUCCGAGAGGAGAAAGAUUUAUCGCCGAGGGAUCGGCCCGCGUCUGAUUAGCUUGUUGGUGAGGUAGCGGCUCACCAAGGCGACGAUCAGUAGCUGGUCNGAGAGGAUGAUCAGCCACAUUGGGACUGAGACACGGCCCAAACUCCUACGGGAGGCAGCAGUGGGGAAUAUUGGACAAUGGGCGCAAGCCUGAUCCAGCCAUGCCGCGUGAGUGAUGAAGGCCCUAGGGUUGUAAAGCUCUUUUACCCGGGAAGAUAAUGAC